Molecule: ribosomal RNA, 253 nt
Filed under: uncultured bacterium
Lineage: Bacteria
Description: partial 16S ribosomal RNA
Rfam family: Bacterial small subunit ribosomal RNA
Source: RNAcentral
UACGAAGGGUGCAAGCGUUGUCCGGAAUUACUGGGCGUAAAGCGCACGUAGGCGGUCUUUUAAGUCGGUGGUGAAAUCCUGGAGCUCAACUCCAGAACUGCCUUCGAUACUGGAAGACUUGAGUCCGGGAGAGGUGAGUGGAACUGCGAGUGUAGAGGUGAAAUUCGUAGAUAUUCGCAAGAACACCAGUGGCGAAGGCGGCUCACUGGCCCGGUACUGACGCUGAGGUGCGAAAGCGUGGGGAGCAAACAGG